This 677-nucleotide long non-coding RNA is filed under the name Pan troglodytes (chimpanzee). RNAcentral's name for it is "long non-coding RNA NONPTRT014260". Lineage: Eukaryota; Metazoa; Chordata; Mammalia; Primates; Hominidae. The record is from RNAcentral.
GAGCGCGCUCUUUCCGCCCCCUUCUCGCGCGUGAGCGCGCCCUAUCGGCUCCCGGCGCGUCAACAUUCCGCGGGCCAGGCCUUGGGGUGCGUCUGAGGAGGGGGAUGUCUGUGGCCUCUCCGCCCACACUUCCUCCACCCACCGCCCGCAGCGCCCCAGAAGGACCUAUUACUCGUUUGGCUUCUGAAGGCCGAAGCCAGGCUCUGGCGGGGAUAGAACCCUGAAGGGCCUGCGCCAGCUCCAACUUAGGGCCCUGUGCGUCGUUGCGACUGCCGCUACCACCCCAUCACGCGGCACCCCCGCCCCAACUCCGCCCGGGUCUCUGAAGAGGCAAUAGGCCUUUCAUCUCCGGGGAAAGUCUCACCUUGGCCCUCAGACACCCGCCAAGAGGGGUCGGAAGGACAGAAUUAGCAUACAGAAGAGGGGCUAGAGCACUUUGCAGGCUCUGGCCCCAGGAAUCCUUGACAGGAAGCGUGGGGUUGCUGCCCAGCCUCCCACGCAGUGCAGUGCCUGAUGGCUGAGAAGAAUCGCAGAGGACUAGAAAAGGUUUGAGUCUGAAAUUAUCUGGCACAGAGGAUUAGAGCUCAGAAAUAAGUGAUUGCGAAACAGUUCAACUUCCCUGUUAAUGACAACAACAACAACAGCAACACGCUUAUUAAUUCCUAGCUGGAGUUUUU